CCUACGGGAGGCAGCAGUGGGGAAUUUUGGACAAUGGGCGAAAGCCUGAUCCAGCCAUUCCGCGUGCAGGAUGAAGGCCCUCGGGUUGUAAACUGCUUUUGUACAGAACGAAAAGGUUUCUAUUAAUACUAGGAGCUCAUGACGGUACUGUAAGAAUAAGCACCGGCUAACUACGUGCCAGCAGCCGCGGUAAUACGUAGGGUGCAAGCGUUAAUCGGAAUUACUGGGCGUAAAGCGUGCGCAGGCGGUUAUAUAAGUCAGAUGUGAAAUCCCCGGGCUCAACCUGGGAACUGCAUUUGAGACUGUAUAGCUAGAGUACGGUAGAGGGGGAUGGAAUUCCGCGUGUAGCAGUGAAAUGCGUAGAUAUGCGGAGGAACACCGAUGGCGAAGGCAAUCCCCUGGACCUGUACUGACGCUCAUGCACGAAAGCGUGGGGAGCAAACAGGAUUAGAUACCCUGGUAGUCCACGCCCUAAACGAUGUCAACUGGUUGUUGGGUCUUAACUGACUCAGUAACGAAGCUAACGCGUGAAGUUGACCGCCUGGGGAGUACGGCCGCAAGGUUGAAACUCAAAUGAAUUGACGG
This 585-nucleotide ribosomal RNA is filed under the name uncultured bacterium. RNAcentral describes it as "bacterial SSU rRNA". It matches the Rfam family "Bacterial small subunit ribosomal RNA", at positions 338 to 916 of the family's 1533-position model. RNAcentral also lists the same sequence under 1 other name. The record is from RNAcentral.